GACGAACGCUGGCGGCGUGCUUAACACAUGCAAGUCGAACGGAAAGGCCCUGCUUUUGUGGGGUGCUCGAGUGGCGAACGGGUGAGUAACAUGUGAGUAACCUGCCCUUGACUUUGGGAUAACUUCAGGAAACUGGGGCUAAUACCGGAUAGGAGCUCCUGCUGCAUGGUGGGGGUUGGAAAGUUUCGGCGGUUGGGGAUGGACUCGCGGCUUAUCAGCUUGUUGGUGGGGUAGUGGCUUACCACGGCUUUGACGGGUAGCCGGCCUGAGAGGGUGACCGGCCACAUUGGGACUGAGAUACGGCCCAGACUCCUACGGGGGGCAGCAGUGGGGAGUAUUGAACAAUGGGCGGAAGCCUGAUGCAGCAACGCCGCGUGCGGGAUGACGGCCUUCGGGUUGUAAACCGCUUUCGCCUGUGACGAAGCGUGAGUGACGGUAAUGGGUAAAGAAGCACCGGCUAACUACGUG
Molecule: ribosomal RNA, 468 nt
Filed under: uncultured bacterium
Lineage: Bacteria
Description: partial 16S ribosomal RNA
Rfam family: Bacterial small subunit ribosomal RNA
Source: RNAcentral